This is a long non-coding RNA of Balaenoptera musculus (blue whale), 1255 nucleotides long. RefSeq lists it as uncharacterized. The transcript has 3 exons. The record is from RefSeq and is a predicted model, not a curated record. Lineage: Eukaryota; Metazoa; Chordata; Mammalia; Artiodactyla; Balaenopteridae.
CCGCUCUCCGGCCGCGCCGCGCCCUGGGCUCAGCCGACCCGGCUUUGUCUGCUCCUUAACUGGAGAUCGAAACCCGCCGGGCUGCGGGGUCUCUCCCGCGCCGCGAGGGGUGCGGGUGGCGAGUCCUACCCUGGAUGCGCUCCCAGGAGAGGUCACCAGAGCGGUGGGGAAGUGGGCACAGAGCUCUCCCAAGUGACCGGGACACAGAGCGAUUGGCUGUCCUUGUUUAAAGAGGAAAAUUGAAGGAAAAUGGUCAACUCAAUGAAGAGGAAGGUGAAGGAGGAGGAGAGAAGGUGAUGAAGGAGCUGAUUACACCAAGUAACAAACCCAAGAAACAGAAAACAGCCUUGUGCUUGCUUCUGGGGUGGGUGGAGAAGUGGCCCAGCUUCCCUCAGCACCACGCCACCCUCUUGACUCCCUUGUUGUAUGUCUUGAGACACUGAGAUCCCCAGCCAGCAAGCAAGUAUAUUCCCUAUACAAAGGCAAGAAAGCGGAUCUAAGUAUGGGAUGGAGAACUGGGUCCCUAUCUUCUUUUUUGAAGGUAUAACAUACCUGCAAUAAACUGCACCCAUUUUAAGUUUAAAAUGUGAUACCUUUUGACAACUGUGCAAAACAUUUCCAUCACUCCAAAAAGUUCCCCUGUGCCUUUUGCAGUCCGUCACCUCCCCCUCCCCAGCCACUGGCACCCACAGAUCUAAUUUAUGUUCCUGUUUUGCCUUUUCCAGAAAGUCAUAAAAACGAAGUUGUACAGGACAUAGCCCUUUGUGUCUGGCUUUUUACACUUAGAAUAAUGCUUUUUAGAUUCGUCCACACUGUUGCAUGCAUCUAUAGUUUGUUUCUUUCUAUUGCUGAGUAUUCCGUUGUGUGGAGACACUACAAUUUGUUUAUCCAUCUGUCAGUUGAUGGACAUUGGGGUUGUUUCCAGCUUUCAGUGAUUAUGAAUAAAGCUGCAUUCAAGUCAUUGUUUAGACAUGCUUUCGUCUCUCUCAGGUAAAUACUUAGGAGUGGGGUUGUUGAGUCCUAUGUAAGUGUAUGCUUAACUUCAGAAGAAACUGCCCAACUGUUUUACAAUGGCUGGACCAUUUUGCAUUCCCACCAACAAUGUAUAAAAGACCAGCUGCAGAUGGCUAUAAUAAUAAAAAACAAAAUAAACAAACAAACAAAAAACAGAAAACUAGCAAGUAUUGGUAAGGAUGUGGAGAAAUCUGGUGAUUUCUUAAUAAGUUAAUUAUAGAAUGAUCACAUGACCCAGCAA